GACGAACCGAGCGAACGUUGUUCGGAAUCACUGGGCUUAAAGGGCGCGUAGGCGGGUGCUCAAGUCUGUGGUGAAAUCCUCCGGCUCAACCGGAGAACGGCCAUGGAUACUGGGUGUCUCGAGGGUGGUAGGGGUAUGCGGAACUAUCGGUGGAGCGGUGAAAUGCGUUGAUAUCGAUAGGAACUCCGGUGGCGAAGGCGGCAUACUGGACCGGCAUUGACGCUGAGGAGCGAAAGCUAGGGGAGCAAACGGG
Molecule: ribosomal RNA, 253 nt
Filed under: uncultured bacterium
Lineage: Bacteria
Description: partial 16S ribosomal RNA
Rfam family: Bacterial small subunit ribosomal RNA
Source: RNAcentral